Molecule: ribosomal RNA, 596 nt
Filed under: Stenotrophomonas sp. RMN-Slr-34
Lineage: Bacteria; Pseudomonadati; Pseudomonadota; Gammaproteobacteria; Lysobacterales; Lysobacteraceae
Description: bacterial SSU rRNA
Rfam family: Bacterial small subunit ribosomal RNA
Source: RNAcentral
GUCGAACGGCAGCACAGUAAGAGCUUGCUCUUAUGGGUGGCGAGUGGCGGACGGGUGAGGAAUACAUCGGAAUCUACUUUUUCGUGGGGGAUAGCGUAGGGAAACUUACGCUAAUACCCGCAUACGCCCUUCGGGUGAAAGCAGGGGUCCUCCGGCCUUGCCGGGGAUAGAUGAGCCGAUGUCGGAUUAGCUAGUUGGGGGGGUAAAGGCCCACCAAGGCUACGAUCAGUAGCUCGUUGGAGAGAUUGAUCACCCACACUGGAAAUGAGCCCAGCUCCAGACUCCUCCGGGAGGCAGCAUUGGGGAUUAUUGGACAAGGGGCGCAAGCUUGAUCCAGCCAUCCGGCGGGGGUGAGGAAGGCUUUCGGGUUGUAAAGCCUUUUUGUUGGGAAAGAAAAGCAGUCGCUUAUUACCCGGUUGUUCUGCCGGUCCCCAAAGAAUAAGCACCGCCUAAUUUUUCCCCACCAGCCCCGUUAUUCGGAAGGGUCCAAGUGUUCCUAGGAAUUCCGGGCCGAAAAGGGGCGGUAGGUGGUUGUUUAAUUUGGUGGUGAAAGCCGUGGGCUCUACCCUGGGAAUUGCAUUGGAUACUGGCUGAAA